Molecule: ribosomal RNA, 305 nt
Filed under: uncultured bacterium
Lineage: Bacteria
Description: bacterial SSU rRNA
Rfam family: Bacterial small subunit ribosomal RNA
Source: RNAcentral
GGACCUACGGGGGGCAGCAUUAUUGAAUCUUCGGCAAUUUUCUAAAGCCUGACCGAGCAACGCCGCGUGAAUGAAGAAGGCCUCCGGGUUGUAAAAUUCUGUUAUAAGGGAAGAAAGGUGAUAGGAGGAAAUGACUAUCAAUUGACGGUACCUUAUGAGAAAGCCACGGCUAACUACGCGCCAGCAGCCGCGGUAAUACGUAGGUGGCAAGCGUUAUCCGGAAUUAUUGGGCGUAAAGAGCGCGCAGGUGGUUAAUUAAGUCUGAUGUGAAAGCCCACGGCUUAACCGUGGUGGGUCAUUGGAAA